GGAUCAAUUUAUUGGUCGUGCUAUUGUACGUACUGGUAUUAUUGAUUCCUACCUUCUGACGAACCAUGAUGUCAUUAAUUUGGUGUCAUGGGGAAUCAGGACUGUUACUUUGAAAAAAUUAGAGUGUUUAAAGCAGGCUCACGCUUGAAUACAUUAGCAUGGAAUAACGAAAUAGGACGUUUGAUUCUAUUUUGUUGGUUUCUAGGAUCGACGUAAUGAUUAAUAGGGAUAGUUGGG
Molecule: ribosomal RNA, 237 nt
Filed under: Glomus sp.
Lineage: Eukaryota; Fungi; Glomeromycota; Glomeromycetes; Glomerales; Glomeraceae
Also listed under: 1 other name
Description: partial small subunit ribosomal RNA
Rfam family: Eukaryotic small subunit ribosomal RNA (bases 37-237)
Source: RNAcentral